RNAcentral lists this transfer RNA (59 nucleotides) under Appalachioria falcifera. RNAcentral's name for it is "tRNA-Ser". The record is from RNAcentral. Lineage: Eukaryota; Metazoa; Arthropoda; Diplopoda; Polydesmida; Xystodesmidae.
GACUAAUUUAGGAUAUAAGCCGCUAACUUAUAAUGAGCCCUUGAUGGGGUUGGUAGUCU